AUGGGCAAGGAAAAUCGGACUCAGAAAAGAAUUGAUUUGGUGUUUAAAAGGAAAAGAGAUGAUACAAUUGAAGUUGAGGAAGACCAAGUAUUGCCCUUGCUUGAAUUGGAACAGCAACAACCUGAACAACAACAUAACCAAGAUGGAGGAGUUCGAACAAAUGAAGUUGUUACAUUUCGGGGUAUUGAGUUCUUGCAGCGGGAUCCUGGAUUGCGCCCUCAAAUUUGGCAAUAUCCACCAGACCAGAGAGAUAUCGUCAGGAGAGCAUAUUUGAUGUUAGGUCCUAUGCAACCCCGUCUAGAGAACUAUAAACCUUCUGGUGAACUAGGGCAUCAACGCCGCUUCCAAUAUAGUUGGUUUGGUGAUUUUCCGUCAUGGCUAGAGUAUUCAGAGGAGAAAAGUUGUGUGUAUUGUCUAUAUUGCUUUGUCUCCAAUAACAAAGAGAAUACACGAGGUGGUUCUCAUGUGUUCACGGUACAUGGAUUUGACAGUUGGAAGAGGGUUUGUGGGAAACAUUGUGCAUUCUUGACCCACAUAGGAUCUGGACCAUGCUCACCACACAACAAUGCAGUCACUAGUGGUCAUGCCUUAAUGAAACAACCAUGCCACAUAGAGAAUGUUAUGGCUGUGAGGGACAAGGAGAAGGUGGAAAGAAAUCGUUUGCGGCUGAAAGUCUCAAUUGCGGUUGUUAAGUGGCUUGCAUUCCAAGCUUGUGCUUUUAGAGGGCAUGAUGAGAGACCACAGUCAAAGAAUCAAGGAAACUUUCUUGAAAUGGUGAAGCUUCUUGCAGAAUUUAAUCCUGAGAUUGCCAAAGUUGUGUUGGGAAAUGCUCCAUACGGCGCAAAAUACACAUCACAUGAUAUCCAGAAUGAGAUCUUGAGUAUAUUUGCAUCUAAAAUCAGGAAGCAUAUUCGUGAGGAAGUUGGAGAUUAUAAGUAUUCUAUUUUAGUGGAUGAAAUGUGUGAUGCAUCAAAGAGAGAGCAAAUGGCUUUGGUUCUUAGGUUUGCUGAUAAAGGUGGUAUUUUGCAAGAGAGAUUCUUUGAUUUGAUACAUGUAGCGAACACGAGGUCUUUGACACUGAAAAAUGAGUUGAGCUUUGUUUUGUCAAACAACGGUUUUGAUAUUCAGAACCUUCGAGGACAAGGUUAUGACGGCGCUAGUAAUAUGAGAGGCGAGUUAAAUGGAUUGCAAGCUCUUUUCCUCCACGAAUGCCCAUAUGCUUAUUAUGUCCAUUGUUAUGCCCAUCGCUUGCAACUUGCUCUAGUUGAUGCAUCUAAAGAAGUGGUUCCUAUCUCCCAGUUCUUUCAGAAAUUGAUCUUUAUCAUAAACACGGUUGACUCAUCUUCAAAGCGCCAUGAUGAGCUUCAUCUUGCCCAACUAGUUGAACUAGAAAAUGGAAUCUCUAAUGCUAGCAUCGAGACAGGUCAAGGGGCAAAUCAAAUCCGCUCACUUAAGCGACCAGGAGACACAAGGUGGGGUUCUCAUUUUGGUUCAGUUUAUAGCCUUAUGAAGAUGUUUGGUCCAGUUUGUUCAGUUAUCCAAGAUAUAGCCGCCGAUGGAUCAAUUGGCUCAAUUCGUGCAGAUGCAGACACUUCUUUUGGCUACUUGUCCUCAUUUGAGUUCAUUUUUAUCUUAUGUUUGAUGAAGGAAAUCUUUGAAAUAACAGAAUUGCUUGGCCAAGCUUUACAAAAGAAAUCACAAGAUAUUGUGAAUGCUGUCCGCCUAGUUUCCUCAACAAAACAAUGUCUUCAGGAGUUGAGAUCAGAUGAUGGCUACCAAGUAUUUAUUACUACGGUUGUUGAAUUUUGUGUAAACCAUUCCAUUGACAUUCCAGACUUUGAGGAAACAUACAUCAUGCGUGGUGGUCGUGCUCGUCGUCAACCUGAUCAGUUCACCAAGGAGCAUUACUUUCGAGUGGAAAUUUUCUUCUCAACACUGGACACUCAACUAUUUGAAUUAAGCCGAAGAUUCAAUGAUAAGAUGCUUCCAAGGAUGAUGAUUUGA
RNAcentral lists this ribosomal RNA (2004 nucleotides) under Triticum aestivum (bread wheat). RNAcentral describes it as "partial small subunit ribosomal RNA". Lineage: Eukaryota; Viridiplantae; Streptophyta; Magnoliopsida; Poales; Poaceae. The record is from RNAcentral.